RNAcentral lists this ribosomal RNA (468 nucleotides) under uncultured bacterium. Its description in RNAcentral is "partial 16S ribosomal RNA". It matches the Rfam family "Bacterial small subunit ribosomal RNA", at positions 28 to 507 of the family's 1533-position model. The record is from RNAcentral.
GACGAACGCUGGCGGCGUGCUUAACACAUGCAAGUCGAACGGAAAGGCCCUGCUUUUGUGGGGUGCUCGAGUGGCGAACGGGUGAGUAACACGUGAGUAACCUGCCCUUGACUUUGGGAUAACUUCAGGAAACUGGGGCUAAUACCGGAUAGGAGCUCCUGCUGCAUGGUGGGGGUUGGAAAGUUUCGGCGGUUGGGGAUGGACUCGCGGCUUAUCAGCUUGUUGGUGGGGUAGUGGCUUACCAAGGCUUUGACGGGUAGCCGGCCUGAGAGGGUGACCGGCCACAUGGGGACUGAGAUACGGCCCAGACUCCUACGGGAGGCAGCGGUGGGGAAUAUUGCGCAAUGGGCGGAAGCCUGAUGCAGCAACGCCGCGUGCGGGAUGACGGCCUUCGGGUUGUAAACCGCUUUCGCCUGUGACGAAGCGUGAGUGACGGUAAUGGGUAAAGAAGCACCGGCUAACUACGUG